Molecule: non-coding RNA, 22 nt
Filed under: Arabidopsis thaliana (thale cress)
Lineage: Eukaryota; Viridiplantae; Streptophyta; Magnoliopsida; Brassicales; Brassicaceae
Source: RNAcentral
UAACAAGGUUUCCGUAGGUGAA